Phragmites australis (common reed) is the source of this 2573-nucleotide long non-coding RNA. RefSeq lists it as uncharacterized. The record is from RefSeq and is a predicted model, not a curated record. The transcript is spliced from 7 exons. Lineage: Eukaryota; Viridiplantae; Streptophyta; Magnoliopsida; Poales; Poaceae.
CCUCCUGAUUCCUCCAUGACGUCGUUGCCCUCCCCUGAGCUCGCUUGCCCAUCGCCGGGACGAUAUUCCCGGCAUCCAUCUCCGCUAGAUUCGGUCACGUGGAGAUGAGAGACGCAGCCCUCGGCAGCCAUCUCUGGCCACGUGGAGAUGGGGGACGGCGUCGCCUUCUCCGGCCAUGUAGAGGUGGGGGCGCACCGUCCCCUCCACCAGUUGUGCCGUCCUGACCACUCAAGCAUCGUCAUCUCCUCUGACCACCUCUGCUGCUCCUAUGGAUCCAGCAUCCCCAAACCCGAGUACAUAGUCCUCGACGGCUGACGUCUCUCUCUAAUGGUGCAGCAAUGAAUUGAGAUAGAAAUCCUAGGAUCGUCUUUCCCAAAUGGAAAUCCUUCUCCAGUCACGGCGGGGUGCAUUACGUCGUGCUAGACGAACUUCUCCACCGCUGGCCUGCUAUGACCGUUGUGUCGUACCCCCAUGAGCGCAGGUGUGUUCCGUUUCGCUAGACGGACCCCUCCACUAGCAGGUUGCCGUGAGCACCGAGGUUGCUUGAUUUGAGGUUUUCUGUGUAUUGUUGAUUGGGAUGGUUAUGGCAGGAGGACGAGGUCGCCAUCCAGGAACGCACUCUCAGCCGUGUUCCUCCGAGAAGUGCUAUUGAUUCGUGUUGUUGGUUCAAGAUGAAAGAUCACGGGCAGAGUAGACUGUGAGAUAGUGGACGAGCGGGUGCUGAGAGGAAGAGGAUGGAUCAGGAGCUCGAACCCGAGGUAUUGUGAUUUUGAAAUCUGACUCAAUGCUGAUUUCGUCACAAGCCUCAUGCGGCUGAUUUGACACAAGCCUCAUCCGACGUGUUGAUUUUUACCUGGACAUGAAUUGGCACAACACUUGUGAGUCGACCAUUACUCGUUUGUUUGAACAUAUGCUGAUAAAGAGUUCAAGGCAAUGCUACUGCCAAUUUUGUUGUAUAAACAUGGUCCACUGCAAGCUCUACACUCUUGCCUUGCAAGCUCCUGGUCACAACGUCAGCAUUGAAGCUAGGGCUCAAGCUCAUCUUCGUGCCUCCAUACUUUGAGCUUGCCAAUGGGGUUCGGUAAUGCUCACCUUAGGAACAGUGAUGGAAUGAUGCAAUUCAUAUUAUAAGCUAUGUGUUUAUGACAGCUGGCAUUACCUUUGUGUGUAAGCUCUGGUUUAGGUUCAAAAAGUAUGCACAAAAGGAUUGGCGAAAAUUCAAUGUUAUCUAAACUUUGGGGAGGAGCUCUCUUGCAUGGCAACUUGAUAAGAUGGUUUGUUUGAUUUGCAGUAUUGGGAUUGCAUUAGUUUUGACUAUUGAAUUUAUUUUUCUUGUUAAGGGAUAAAUUAGAAAGCAUAUCAUUUAAUUCCCAUAAUUUUUUAUGAAUUUCUGGUAAGCUACCAAAAGUACACCACUGGCUGAAUCUAAAUGAUUUGUAGCCCAACAAGUUGAGUAGAUUAAUAUAAGUGAACCCAUUUUGGAUUGUUGGGUGCCAAUCUGCUAUUACUGAUCCUUACAUCAAAACAAGAGUAGAAUACUCAUGCAUUAGCUUUGGAUAACCAAAUGUCUUUAGUAUUAGAUUAGAUGAAUGUAUCAUUGCCAUUUAUUUUUGGAAAUUUAGUUCGUUAUAUUUUGUUAGAAUAAUCAUAUCUCCAUGUUAUGUUGGGCCCGAUGUGGUAAUAUCUCAAUUCAAUAUUUGUUUUUGCAGUCCAUGAAUCACAUUUCUGUAAAGUCCUGAGAUGAUAACCGGGCUGACUGGCUAAUCUUUGCAUCAUUCAUCCACCACGUCUAGAAGUGAGGAUAACAAAUGCAUAGGUAUCCUUCGAGGUUUCACAUGUAGUUGAGCGAUGUGCCUCUUGUGGUUUUGAUUUAUGCUUUGCUGCAUAAAUUGGAAAGUGAUGGUUGUCAGUCAUUAUUAAGUGAAAAAAUAGAUGUUAAUUAUGUUGGUUCUGGUAUGUGUUAGGAUCAACUAAGUGUAGCUAGCUAUUGUGUACUUUGUUUGAGCAAGUACUUGUGACAUUAAGUUUGUUACUUAUAUGUGCAUGUAUUUGAGGAAAGAUCAAAGUUGGGGGUGAGCAGAAACUACUUGUGUCCUCCACAGCCGGCCGGAACUGCAGACGGUAGUGUGUGAUGUAGAACAGCAAUGCAUGGUUCGCCUGUUCCCUGUGUUUCAGUUCGUCAAUUCCGUUGUCUAACGAAGGAAAAUAUGUUGAGACGACUACAGAUCCUUCCUUUCAGCUCGCCCAGACAGUGUUUGUCCGCCGACUGCUCGGCACGGGGGGUGAUUCGGUUGAAGACCAACCAAAAUCUUGGUGAUUUGAAGUUUGUAUUGUCCCUUGGUCUUUAAGGUUUGCAUCCCCAACCCUCACCCCCACCCCACCUCUUUCCUCCUCUUGCUUAUAUUUGGUGGAAUCUAGGGUUUGAAUUGAAAUCAAUAAUUUUGUUUCUUCUCCCAAAUCUUAAUAUAUGUGGAUUGUCUCUUGGCAUUUCAAGGUUUGCAUCCCCACUCUUUCCACCUCCUUUUGCUCCUAAUUGGUGGAUUCUAGGGUUUGAGUUGAAAUCAACAAUUGUG